UAGGGAAUCUUCGGCAAUGGACGGAAGUCUGACCGAGCAACGCCGCGUGAGUGAAGAAGGUUUUCGGAUCGUAAAGCUCUGUUGUAAGAGAAGAACGAGUGUGAGAGUGGAAAGUUCACACUGUGACGGUAUCUUACCAGAAAGGGACGGCUAACUACGUGCCAGCAGCCGCGGUAAUACGUAGGUCCCGAGCGUUGUCCGGAUUUAUUGGGCGUAAAGCGAGCGCAGGCGGUUAGAUAAGUCUGAAGUUAAAGGCUGUGGCUUAACCAUAGUACGCUUUGGAAACUGUUUAACUUGAGUGCAAGAGGGGAGAGUGGAAUUCCAUGUGUAGCGGUGAAAUGCGUAGAUAUAUGGAGGAACACCGGUGGCGAAAGCGGCUCUCUGGCUUGUAACUGACGCUGAGGCUCGAAAGCGUGGGGAGCAAACAGGAUUAGAUACCCUGGUAGUCCACGCCGUAAACGAUGAGUGCUAGGUGUUAGACCCUUUCCGGGGUUUAGUGCCGCAGCUAACGCAUUAAGCACUCCGCCUGGGGAGUACGACCGACANAGGUUG
Molecule: ribosomal RNA, 552 nt
Filed under: uncultured bacterium
Lineage: Bacteria
Description: bacterial SSU rRNA
Rfam family: Bacterial small subunit ribosomal RNA
Source: RNAcentral